GCUAUGCGCAUUCAAUAAUAUUAAGUAGUAAUAAUAAUUCAAUGUUCUUACCUCAGUUUCCUCUACAGGAAACGUGUCUGCCAGAAGUUGCAAACAUUCAUCAAAUGACAUGGUGUCAGCGUUCUCCUCUGGGAAGCUGACAUUCUGCAAGAAAGGAUGAGUGGUUACCUAGCUACGACAUCGCUGCAGCCUAUAAAAUGAGGUGGGAGUAGUCUACCUCUGACAUGAGUAAUGAUGGCCAUGGAAAUGUACCUGUGUAACCUCUAGAGGUGCGACAGCCGAAGGCAGUGGGGCGCUGGGUGGCGGGCGGGGUAUGUACUCUCCCGUUUCCUCGUCAAGCUGUAGCUGUGCCAGCAGGGCCUUCUCCUGCUCCAGGACCAGAUGCUGCUGCUUCUCUUCUUCCAGCUCCCGCUGCCUCCGCAGCUCAUGUUCUUUCUGACGAUGGUUGUAGUCAUAAACUUCACGCCUGGCGCCGAGAUCAAUGUCCUGCUUCCACAGUAUGUCAAUCAGCUCCAUGUCCUAGAAAGAAAACCACAGAUCAGUUUAGAGAGCUGUGAGCCAUGUUGUCUUGCCAUGUUGUCUUGCAGUGAGAAUGUGAGCAGCAUUGAAGCAAGGAAGAGCGCGCCGUGCUGUGAAGAGUGGCAGCGGCACCCGCCACACCCUGUCUCUCAGUAUCUGUUCACUAACAACAACACUGGCACUAAAGUCAAGGGGGAGAAGCCGCAUGAAUAAUCAAUGUACUUCUCUGUUUCCCGUGUUGCCACCACACGCCAGCACAAGACACGUAUCUUCACUUGAUACUCUUUCCAAGGGAAGUGUUCAUUACCCAUCUGAUUACACCGAGGUGUGAAUUCAUUUGUCUCAUUCAAACUCACAAAGGGCACACUCUAAAUCAAUUUUUGCACAAUUGACUCCAUGUUAGUUUCGGUCUCUAAAAGUACUAAAGUUAAAUCUUAAACAUUAUUUCAUAUUAAAAGCAUUUUUUUAAAACAGGAAGUUAAAAGGUAUGUGUAUAGUUGUUGUUUGGUACCACGAUGCUUGUACAAUAAAUACAAAUUAAAAUUCCUUAAAGGCUAUAUUUGGCUGUAGAUCUGUUGCUGGGUGGAAUUGCAGACCUUGUUUUAUUGUUUUCCUUCCUGUUAUGUCUUUAAGUAAAUAACUACAACUAUUAAUA
Etheostoma spectabile (orangethroat darter) is the source of this 1174-nucleotide long non-coding RNA. RefSeq lists it as uncharacterized. NCBI's taxonomy places the organism in Eukaryota, Metazoa, Chordata, Actinopteri, Perciformes, Percidae. The record is from RefSeq and is a predicted model, not a curated record. The transcript is spliced from 2 exons.